UCGAGCGGCAGCGGGANNNAGCUUGCUACUUUGCCGGCGAGCGGCGGACGGGUGAGUAAUGUCUGGGAAACUGCCUGAUGGAGGGGGAUAACUACUGGAAACGGUAGCUAAUACCGCAUGACCUCGNAAGAGCAAAGUGGGGGACCUUCGGGCCUCACGCCAUCGGAUGUGCCCAGAUGGGAUUAGCUAGUAGGUGAGGUAAUGGCUCACCUAGGCGACGAUCCCUAGCUGGUCUGAGAGGAUGACCAGCCACACUGGAACUGAGACACGGUCCAGACUCCUACGGGAGGCAGCAGUGGGGAAUAUUGCACAAUGGGCGCAAGCCUGAUGCAGCCAUGCCGCGUGUGUGAAGAAGGCCUUAGGGUUGUAAAGCACUUUCAGCGAGGAGGAAGGGUUCAGUGUUAAUAGCACUGUGNAUUGACGUUACUCGCAGAAGAAGCACCGGCUAACUCCGUGCCAGCAGCCGCGGUAAUACGGAGGGUGCAAGCGUUAAUCGGAAUUACUGGGCGUAAAGCGCACGCAGGCGGUUUGUUAAGUCAGAUGUGAAAUCCCCGAGCUUAACUUGGGAACUGCAUUUGAAACUGGCAAGCUAGAGUCUUGUAGAGGGGGGUAGAAUUCCAGG
Molecule: ribosomal RNA, 622 nt
Filed under: Rahnella aquatilis
Lineage: Bacteria; Pseudomonadati; Pseudomonadota; Gammaproteobacteria; Enterobacterales; Yersiniaceae
Description: bacterial SSU rRNA
Rfam family: Bacterial small subunit ribosomal RNA
Source: RNAcentral